AACUUAGCAGAGAUGCUUUGGUGCCUUCGGGAACUCUGAGACAGGUGCUGCAUGGCUGUCGUCAGCUCGUGUUGUGAAAUGUUGGGUUAAGUCCCGCAACGAGCGCAACCCUUAUCCUUUGUUGCCAGCGGUUAGGCCGGGAACUCAAAGGAGACUGCCAGUGAUAAACGUGGAGGAAGGUGGGGAUGACGUCAAGUCAUCAUGGCCCUUACGAGUAGGGCUACACACGUGCUACAAUGGCGCAUACAAAGAGAAGCGACCUCGCGAGAGCAAGCGGACCUCAUAAAAGUGCGUCGUAGUCCGGAUUGGAGUCUGCAACUCGACUCCAUGAAGUCGGAAUCGCUAGUAAUCGUGGAUCAGAAUGCCACGGUGAAUACGUUCCCGGGCCUUGUACACACCGCCCGUCACACCAUGGGAGUGGGUUGCAAAAGAAGUAGGUAGCUUAACCUUCGGGAGGGCGCUUACCACUUUGUGAUUCAUGACUGGGGUGAAGUCGUAACAAGGUAGGCGUAGUGCU
This 517-nucleotide ribosomal RNA is filed under the name uncultured bacterium. RNAcentral describes it as "bacterial SSU rRNA". It matches the Rfam family "Bacterial small subunit ribosomal RNA", at positions 994 to 1509 of the family's 1533-position model. The record is from RNAcentral.